GGCGGCGUGCCUAACACAUGCAAGUAGAACGCUGAAGGAGGAGCUUGCUCUUCUGGAUGAGUUGCGAACGGGUGAGUAACGCGUAGGUAACCUGCCUGGUAGCGGGGGAUAACUAUUGGAAACGAUAGCUAAUACCGCAUAAGAAUAGAUGUUGCAUGACAUUUGCUUAAAAGGUGCAAUUGUAUCACUACCAGAUGGACCUGCGUUGUAUUAGCUAGUUGGUGGGGUAACGGCUCACCAAGGCGACGAUACAUAGCCGACCUGAGAGGGUGAUCGGCCACACUGGGACUGAGACACGGCCCAGACUCCUACGGGAGGCAGCAGUAGGGAAUCUUCGGCAAUGGACGGAAGUCUGACCGAGCAACGCCGCGUGAGUGAAGAAGGUUUUCGGAUCGUAAAGCUCUGUUGUAAGAGAAGAACGAGUGUGAGAGUGGAAAGUUCACACUGUGACGUAUCUACCAGAAAGGACGCA
Molecule: ribosomal RNA, 472 nt
Filed under: Streptococcus sp. oral taxon 064
Lineage: Bacteria; Bacillati; Bacillota; Bacilli; Lactobacillales; Streptococcaceae
Description: bacterial SSU rRNA
Rfam family: Bacterial small subunit ribosomal RNA
Source: RNAcentral